UUGGUUAUGAGAACUAUAGCUCUGACAAAAAUAUGGAAUGGAAAUAAAGUAUAUUACAGGAGAUAUUCAGUUGUUUUAAUCAUAAAAUGGAUUUCUAUUUGACAACUAGUGCCAGUACUUUUCCGCGUAUCAAGAUCACCUGGUUUGUAAAGGCGCACAAUUUUCUGCUCUUGGGAAUUUAAAGCAGCUUCUUAAACAGUUUCUUUAUGCAUAAAAUUUACUUAUGUUAAUCUUUUAUCACUUGUGUGUUCAGCAGAGUGCUGAGGCAUUCAAAUUCGAACAAUAUGUUAUUUGAAUAGUUUGCAGGUUUUUUGGGACACCUUGUACAGGGUGUAUAAAAAAGACGCAACCUCGGAAUUUCCCAAAAAAUCGACAUUGUUUUAAGGACAAAAGAUUUUAGGUGGCUGGGAAUUCAAAAUAGCACAACUGUCAAAAUUACUGUACACGCGAGUGCGUAAAGCAAAAUUUAUGCAUUUAUUUCAUGACACUUAAUGAGUUUUUAUUUUACAAGUACAGCGCGCAUAACAACAGUUAUAUUAUCUAUUAGCAAUUCGAUUUAAAUUCCCAGAGGCCUAAAAUCUUUUAUGCUUAAGAAUUGCAAAGUGGAUUUCUUAGGAAAUUCCGAGGUUGCGUUUUUUUAUACACCCUGUAGAGUCACUGAUGAAUUCAGUAUACGGUACGGUACAGUGGUUAAUGAAUUCAAUAAAGUGGCGAUAACGAUUCAAUCUAGCUUUUCAUUAAACCUUUUGUUUUCUUAACCCCACAUUUUCCCUACGCUUCAAAGCCCUCGCCACUUGAUGAUUUAAGAUCAUAGAUAUCUUAAAUACACUAGAUAGCGCAUCUCUUUUAGUAAAAUUGAAGCCAAGAAUAUUCCAGCGGUUACCCCCAUUUGAAUAGAUGGCGGCCAUGUUGGUCGUUCCCACUUGCUAAUAAACGCUUAAAAACAGCAAUAACUUUUAUCAUUUGAAUAGUUUAAAAACGUAUUUGGAAUAGGGUUAACUUAAUGUUUAAGUUCCCUGUUUAAGAAAUAGAAAACAUACGAAUCUUCUCAUUUCAUGAGAACGACGUCAACAACCUGAGACUGUCAUCACGGCUUCAAUUUUUGAAUUGCAGUAUAAUUAGAGCACUAUCUAGUGUAUAUGAGAUAUCGAUGUUUAAGGUUACUCCACAUGAUGAAAACAUUGAUUUUGUCCUUUUUUACAUUUUUAUCGAUUUAUAUCGAGGGGCUAGAGAUCUUUCCAUUUCUCAAAUAAUUUUUUGAAAAUAUUAAAAUGCAACCGAGAUAUAACCGAAAAUGUUAUAGUCUAAUUUUUUCCCCCCGGGAAAGUUUUAAUUGUGAUUGACAGUUUGUGGAUAAGUUUGACCAUAUGGUUUGACCACAGGGUGCAUGUUACGCAUCUGUGGCGGUAUUCAACAUUAGGCGGCUUGUUUGUUUUAGAUAUAACUAUAUCACUGUAAUAUUGUAGGUACACGCACACAACACAGUGAAAUUUGCUUUCUAAGUAAAACGCUGGUUUAAAAAGUGAUCAAUCAUAUAUAUAAC
Non-coding RNA from Paramuricea clavata, 1543 nucleotides. Lineage: Eukaryota; Metazoa; Cnidaria; Anthozoa; Malacalcyonacea; Plexauridae. The record is from the annotation of a GenBank genome assembly.